UUUCCCCCUUGGACCUCAAAACUUUCAUAGAACCUUCUUCAUAGUGAACAAAUAUUACAGUGCACUGAUUCAAGGAUACAGAUGGAAAAAUGUCAAACUACUCAACCUGACGUCCCAAAAAUGGUCCCCAGAAGGGCUCCUCCGAAGCAGACACUCCGUAGCCUUAUUUAUGUGGAUUCUGACAAGAAGGUCGUGAGAAGCCAUUGCAAGAAUUUCAGGACCACACCCUCCAGAUUGGACAAGGUCACACAGCCUUCAAUAGCCCUCACCCUCUGUUACACACCGAGCUCCGAAAGCUGAUGAAGCAGAUCUACACCAAUUACAGAAAUCCCAGGGCAGGAUGAUGUUGAAUAAAUAAUGUAAACAACCAACAACUCAAGAAUUGACUGUGCUCUCUGAAAUGACUUAAGAGUGACUGGCGUCCCCAGCGGAGAGAGCUUCACUGUCCUUGAGACUCCGAUUCCAUCGCUGGUUCUGAGGAUGGACUUGGCGUUAUUCUCACCCGGAAGUUCUCACAGCUGUGUAACAAGUGGAAGAAAGCAAUAUGGAGACGGG
RNAcentral lists this long non-coding RNA (555 nucleotides) under Chinchilla lanigera (long-tailed chinchilla). Its description in RNAcentral is "lncRNA (ENSCLAG00000028282.1)". Lineage: Eukaryota; Metazoa; Chordata; Mammalia; Rodentia; Chinchillidae. The record is from RNAcentral.